AUUGAACGCUGGCGGCAGGCCUAACACAUGCAAGUCGAACGGUAACAGGAAGAAGCUUGCUUCUUUGCUGACGAGUGGCGGACGGGUGAGUAAUGUCUGGGAAACUGCCUGAUGGAGGGGGAUAACUACUGGAAACGGUAGCUAAUACCGCAUAACGUCGCAAGACCAAAAAGGGGGACCUUCGGGCCUCUUGCCAUCGGAUGUGCCCAGACGGGAUUAGCUAGUAGGUGGGGUAACGGCUCACCUAGGCGACGAUCCCUAGCUGGUCUGAGAGGAUGACCAGCCACACUGGAACUGAGACACGGUCCAGACUCCUACGGGAGGCAGCAGUGGGGAAUAUUGCACAAUGGGCGCAAGCCUGAUGCAGCCAUGCCGCGUGUAUGAAGAAGGCCUUCGGGUUGUAAAGUACUUUCAGCGGGGAGGAAGGGAGUAAAGUUAAUACCUUUGCUCAUUGACGUUACCCGCAGAAGAAGCACCGGCUAACUCCGUG
Molecule: ribosomal RNA, 490 nt
Filed under: uncultured bacterium
Lineage: Bacteria
Description: partial 16S ribosomal RNA
Rfam family: Bacterial small subunit ribosomal RNA
Source: RNAcentral